GAGUUCAUGUUGAAUAAAAUCAGAGGUCUAAAGAAACCAAAAAAACACUUACAAAAUAGACAGGAUACUGGGAUAAAGAGGCAUAAAAGGGUAACAGAAUGGAAAACUCCACCAGACAAACAAAAGAGUCUCUGUAUCCUGUUGGUUGAACACCAUAAAAAUCCACUGUCCAGUUAGAGAUAUAUCAGCAGCAUCAGCUCAGACCAAGGGACAACUAGACACAGACAGCAAAUAUGGGGACAGACACAUAUUGUGGAGCUGGACAGACACCCCUCUUGUGGAGCUGGAGCAACAGAAUUUUGAAACUGCUAAAGCACUGUGAAGAGGUGUUUACAUAUUCUUCUUUUGGGGGUCGCACAAACGUAAGGAUGAGACAUGCUGUAUUCUAAGCAGCAAAGGAGAUACGGACAGAAGAGAACAAGAGAAGGUGGCCAACAUCAAAGCACCGUCCGUGUAGAUACUAGGUACCCACUUCUGACUGAACCAGACAAGGGAGAUCACCCCUACCAAACCUACCUUCUACAGAGCAUUACAUUGUCUUCUGAUGGCAUCACACAUCAGAAGAGCACCUGCACCCUCCCUUCCCUCUGUUUCCAAUUUGAGCUG
Molecule: long non-coding RNA, 606 nt
Filed under: Columba livia (rock pigeon)
Lineage: Eukaryota; Metazoa; Chordata; Aves; Columbiformes; Columbidae
Description: partial uncharacterized LOC102097769
Source: RNAcentral